This is a long non-coding RNA of Suricata suricatta (meerkat), 718 nucleotides long. RefSeq lists it as uncharacterized. The record is from RefSeq and is a predicted model, not a curated record. The transcript has 7 exons. Lineage: Eukaryota; Metazoa; Chordata; Mammalia; Carnivora; Herpestidae.
CAGCUGACAGGCAUACUCUUCCAUGCCUGCUACUGCAACCUAUCAGACUUACCCAGUGAAGUGGUAAGAAGAAUCAGAAAUUGCAAUGAUAUAAGGAAACACAUGAAAAACUGAGAUGAAACUCUUUUGAAGAAGUAUUAGCAUCUACUUUACAAGUUUGGAGCUGUUUAUAGCUACUGUGCCAAAGAAGAUAAUCUAACAAAUGUAGCUUAAAAAAUGCACCACAGGAAUUUCUUUAAGAGAUGAAAGAUGGAUGACAAGCAGAGAAGCUCCUUCUUGCAAAGUUUAUGUAGCGAUUCUAUUACCUCUGUUGCAGUGUUUCCAAUGGAGAGAAACUUAAAAAACUAUGGAAAUUAUAUUCAAGAUCCUUUAAAAGCUACAUGUGUGGAGAACUGUUUCAGCAAACAUAUGAAAAGAAUGCACAAUGGCACCAGACCUUAGAGCAUGAUGUCUUACCAGCAGUGGGGAGAAAAAAUAUAUUAAAUAAAGUGUUUCCACUUGCAUCCGUUAGCAGAUGAGGACUCCCAUGGCAGAACCACUAGCAUUCCCAUUCCCAUCACUAUGAAAUGACAUCGAGGACGCUCUGCAGGAUGGAGUGCCAGCCACAGGGUGAUAGCUGACUGAGAAAGCACUCCUUAGUGCCUGACUCCACCUCCCCCGAUCUCUUUUCCACCACCUUAUUGUUUCCUACACCUCCCAAAUAAACGACUUGCUCUUA